GAGCUCUGUGCUGGAUGAGAAAUAGUCUUUACCUUCUCAGUGAGGGACUGUGCAGCUGUCUGACGCCACUCCAGGAAGCCGGAACCUGUAAUACCUGAUUACAUCGGAGUGCUCCGAUCAGAGAUUAACGGAGGGAAUAACACAAAAGAAGAAGAUGGCAGAAUGCAAGAAAGAAAAAGAUGAAAGCGAUUACAUAAAUAAUGGAGCGGAUGGAGAUGCCGAAAGUGUUGCAGAAGCCACAAAUGAACCUGGAGUUGUGAAAGGACCAGGGCAAGAAAAUAAGUUAUUAGUCAGUACAAAAGAAGAAGAAAUAGAAGAGCUAACAUCUGGUGUGGGAUACAUUUCAUUGACUGAUAAUCCUCAACCUUCACUGAUAAGACGUGGUUUAGAGCCAAUAGACGUUGAAAACUUGCUGAUCUCAAAAGUGAAAAGCUUAAUCUCAGACAAACCAAAUAAAACAGUUAUAAAAUAUAUAAAAAAAACACACAGUUGUACGAGAAAAUUUUACAGGCCGCAAAGGCAAACUUGAUAAAAGAAGGUUUGCUAAUAAAUUCAUGUGUUGGAGAAAUAUAAUUCCUAACGAAUCGGACAGACCGGACAAAGUAAAAACCGACGCAUCAAACCAAGCCCAUGAGUUAUUUUUUCAGUCAUUAAAGGCCUUGCAAUUGUUGGACCUACCAGCAAACACCACUGUGCAUGAAGGAAAUUUGAUGAAAAACGGCAUCAUGAUUACACCAGCAGAAUUUUGUAAGGUUGUCGAUGACAUAACCAAAAAGUUUAGGAGAAAGUAUUCGAGAGAUUGGCUAUUGGGAGAAAAAAUCCACAUGGAAGCUAUCCAUCAAUCAUGUGAAGACAUAUGCAUGCAUAGAUUUGUUAGGGAUAUGACUAUUUCAAAUGAUAUGCUGAAUUUGAAAACCUAUGCAGAUUGGAGAUCACGAGUGUUGGAGUAUUCUUGUUUUGCUGCCUUCUUGUAUGUGUAUUUAGAGAAAACAAAGGGCCAUGUCAAGAAAUAGACCGAUAGUCAUUUACCGAGGAAAUAUAUAAGAAAAUAAGAUACAGUGUUGAAAAAAGACAUCAAAUGAAAAAGAAAAUAAUUAUGCUUCAAUUUGAAUUGUUUAUUCAUUCGUGUCUUCAUGUCUUUUCAUAAGCAUUGCAAAAAAAUUAUUUUUAUGUUAUUAUCAUUUAUUUUUAAUUUGUGUGCAAAAAUGUAAAAUUUCUAUGUCUCCUUGUGGACAGAGGGUCCCUCGUAACUCGCAGUUUCAGAAUCUAAAGGAGUAUUGGUUACUCCGUUGAUCGUAUCCCAAAAUUAAAAUAAUGUAACGUCAUUGGUUAAAUUGUCAUUGAAAAGUUGCAAGCCAACCACAACGUUAAUUAGUUAUAGUGUACAAUUUGAAAAUAUUACCGAAAAUGCUUUUUUAAAAUGGAGAAGUUUACUUUCAUGAGAAAAUGUGUUAAUCAAUUAAUGACGAUAAAAAUUCGUCUCAUCUUACCUUCAGGAUGAGUAGUCAAGAAUAUAUACAAAAUAUUAAUUAAGAAUUAAUGGUACUAUGAUAUUGUAGGCAUUCAUAGAUUACCAUGUUCAUCCUCACCUAGGCCUGUUGUUGUGAAAUUUUUUAACAAUGAUAUAAAAACGAUGGUUAUGAAAAACAAGAAAAUAUUACGUCGAGCUGGGAUAAGAAUAAUACAUGACAUUACAAGGCCCAAUAUAAAUAUCAUGGACGCAGUAGGAAACAAUGAAAACAUUGAGUACAGUUGGUUCUUCAAUUGCCAAGUGUAUGGACUUUGCAAUGUGACCAAAAGACGAAUGAAAUUUUGACUAAAAGACAACAUCAAGGACAUUUUGUCACAACACAUUCAGGAUGUGAAUGAGUAGCAAACAAACACUGGAAACUAACUGAAAAUAUUUACUGUGGUAUAACUGCACAGGGUGAUUGGGAUGGACCUCUGAACUGUCUAUUAGACCCAAUUAUCCAGUGGUAAAUAUAUUUGAAGUGUAAAUAUAGUGUUUGGUUCUGUUUCUGUGUAUGGAUAUAAUGACAUAAACCCCUCUCAUGGUAAGUGCUUCAACUACAUGUGUAUAUCUAUGUUUUUCAUAAACUGGAUUGCUACUUAUUUCUAACUUCCACAAGACUUUCAGUUUUGACACUCAUUGCUAGAAACGAGUUGAAACGGAUACUAAAAACUAUGAAAUUCCCUUGGUACAAAGAUCUAAUAUGUAAAGAAAUUAAUAUGUUAUACUACCAAAGCACUUUUCACAUGUAUGUAUGGAUUACUUCCCCUUGCUGAUAUGACAUGAACCUGCCUGCAUAUAUCAAGCUUGAUCAGAGUUUGUGUUUUGAUGAGAGUCCAAUACAAAUGUGAAGGAUUCAGUUUAAGUAGUGUAUAAAUCAGAAAGAUUUUACAAAGCAAGGGAAUAUCCAAAUUUACAAGCUUAACUAUUGAGCAUGAUUUAAAAAAAUAGUCCAUUCAAAUUUUGUAUGGGGAAAUAAACCUCAUGUUUAGUGAAAAUAUCCAACAUACAUAAAAGGGUGCAUUGUAAUAGUAAUGACUUUAUGGUCAAUUAAUAUAUCACAUAUCACAUGCUAUAUAUAUUUUCAUAUAUAUUCAUAGUAUCAUUACCCUAAUAUCUUUUAAUUGUAUUGUUAAGCAAUUAUGAUCAGUGCUUUCUAUAUUUAGGAUAUACUGUAAAUGAUGCACAAGGUUUUGAGUUCAAUGUUAUGGAAAAUAAGAUAUCACCAAUAUCCAAAUAUUUACAAAAGGGAGAUAAUCGUGUGGUUAAUUGGAAGGGGAGAUAAUCUUGUUCAUUGUGCAAGUUUUUGUGAAACAAUUUGAAAAUUACAAUCAAUGUUUUUAGGUUGACGAUAAUAAAAAUUGAAGGUAUUUGAAAUGUGUUAAAUAUACAUGAUCCACAUGGUUUUGAGUUCAAUGUUAUGUAAUGCCCUAGGUAUCCGAGGAAGAAAUAUCAUAAUUGAAACUCUACUCAAAGCUGAUAAGUUUAAGGUAUGUGUACUAAUUUUGUUUAUAUACUAUUGUUAAAUACUGUAAUUUAGAUAAUAACACUGAAAUUUGUUUUUCCUCAUUGAAAUAUUGAAAAGUCACAUAAUUUUGUAAAUGAGGCAUCCGUAAUAAUCCGUAGUAUUAAAUUAAGGGAGAAAUCGAUGUGGAAAAUUCAGGAAAUUUGAAGGGGAGAUAAUCUUGUACUUUGUCCAUUUUUUUUUGGGAUACUAUUGGAAAAUUACAACCAAUGUUGUUUGAUUCAUUAUCAUCUAAUAGAUCAUUAUACAGGACAUCCACCAUGGCAAGCUGGUAAGACAAAUAAUUAAAUAAAACAAGGACACCAAAUCUGAAUUGAAUAUGGCCGUUUAUUACAAUAAACGACGGUUGUUAUGACGUUCACAUUUUGUCAUAUAAAUAGCCCCAAAAAGUCUUAGAUGGGGGUCCUAUUCCGCCAUACACAAUAUAAUUGAUGCAAUAUUAAUGCUAGUUGUAAUACAUAAUUUUUACACACAAAUACAUGAUAUAACAUCGAUACAUUACUUAACAAUCGCAUAAGAAAAUGUUGUCCACCAAUACAUAAAGUUAUGCACAUUCAGAAAAUUCUAACAAGAAAGGAGGAAAGUCGGGGAUGGUGGUGGGUAAA
This 3640-nucleotide long non-coding RNA is filed under the name Mizuhopecten yessoensis (Yesso scallop). RNAcentral's name for it is "uncharacterized LOC110450053". Lineage: Eukaryota; Metazoa; Mollusca; Bivalvia; Pectinida; Pectinidae. The record is from RNAcentral.